UACGUAGGGGGCGAGCGUUGUCCGGAAUUACUGGGCGUAAAGAGCUCGUAGGGGGUUUGUCGCGUUGUUCGUGAAAACUCACAGCUUAACUGUGGGCGUGCGGGCGAUACGGGCAGACUAGAGUACUGCAGGGGAGACUGGAAUUCCUGGUGUAGCGGUGGAAUGCGCAGAUAUCAGGAGGAACACCGGUGGCGAAGGCGGGUCUCUGGGCAGUAACUGACGCUGAGGAGCGAAAGCGUGGGGAGCGAACAGG
This 253-nucleotide ribosomal RNA is filed under the name uncultured bacterium. RNAcentral's name for it is "partial 16S ribosomal RNA". It matches the Rfam family "Bacterial small subunit ribosomal RNA", at positions 524 to 776 of the family's 1533-position model. The record is from RNAcentral.